UCAUUGAAUAGAUCAUCCCUUGAUAUAAUCUCGUUCCAUUCUAACAAAUACCAUCCACUGUGCUGCCAUUGCUGAAGAAGAAACGGCUCCAUUUAACUCAGCCUCCUCCACCUUGGUGUUCAAAAAUCUGCCUACACGCCCAUCAAGUUCAACCACAUGAUGGUCUGCUCGCGUCUUCCUUUUCAGCACCUGCAUCCUCAGAAGAUUGCUCUCCAGCGUGUGGAAGGUGUUCGACGUAUUGUUUGCAAGGGCUGCUGCUGCAAUUUUUGGUUCUCCAUUGCUUCACAAGUCUUCUGGCAUAGCUAGACAACUCCUCAAUCCGACUACCUGGGAUGAACUGCGUGCUCUCGAGUCCUCCGACGCCCUCAUUCCACCUCCCCCAUGCCAGGUUCUCCCUGCCAUCCAUCACACAUACGCCAUCAGCUUCUGCUCUUAAUUUUCAAAGGUGAAGCCCCUAUUCUUCCUAGAAUGUGAUUUCCGCAGGAUGAAUUUGUCGCCCCCGUGCUGUCUUUAGGUCCAUGCCACUUUCCUUUUCUGACCUUAAUCUCAAGAUAAGGAUGCCCCAUUUAUUCAAUCUUAUAAUUCGUGCAUCUGGAGUAGUUAAGAUUUAAUUGCAUGUUAGAUACUUGAUGUAAUUCCUAUGUGAAUAGACGUGUCGUGCAAGGUACAACUUUGGGGAAGAUCCUUGCUGGCUCCAGUUCUGUUGCACAAUCUAAAACAUUAAAGCGGAGCUACCUGGGAGACCAACGGGAGUGGACACGUCGCCCCGAUUGUUUCUCCUGCCAUCAGCUCCAGACUGCAUGCUCACCGUGAAAACAAUACAAAUUACUCCAAUAUUUCCAUCUUAUUGCACUUGCACACCCUGAUAAGUAUCUCAGUUCACACUCAAAUAUGUAAUUGUCCUCUCCCUGCUUUCUUUUCAUAUAUGAUUUCUUCAUCUUAUUGCAUAUUCUGCUGAGUAUCUCAGUUGGUACUUCUGAAUACCAGGAGUUUCACAUACAUGGUCUUUACAUGGUGGUGAGUUGUGAGGAUUCCCUUCAUGUUUGUGUUCACAAUUACAAACUGGGAUGCUGUUUUUAUCUGAUGAAAAUCAUAGCUGAAACCAAAAGCCUCCCCGUCUCUUCAAUACUCAUAGGUAUGUCUGUUCUAUGACUACACAGUUGGAAGAACACCUUAUUAGCAUUCCCUUGCAAAAUUGUUAGGUGAAAUUCUAGGUACAUAUCAUUGGAUUGACUGCAUCAAAUUUGUUAUUGUUCUACAGACAUGCUGUUUCAUAAAUAUGAAAUGUCUGCUCCAACAGAUCCCAAUUUUACAUUGUACAAUGUUUUUUUCUCUUCCUAUAAAAGUUUAACUAUAAUUAAUUUCAGUAGUUGCUUUGCAAGACAGGCCAUGCUCGCAGAUAUCUGAAGUGGAUUGAACAUCAUACGCACCAUUGUUAUGUUGAUAUUUUGAACAGUCUUCCUUCCAUGUCAGGUCAUUCUUGGGUAAAAAGUGCAGUUAUUCCAUAUACAGUUUCAUUUUCUCUCUUGGAAACAACCAAAUUUUCAGGUAAGACUAAAUGUAGGUGAUGCCAAUGCAACCCAAUUAAUUUGAAGGCUUCACCUAACUUAGAUUUGGCCAUGUAUUUUACAACUAAUUGCCGUACGUAUCAUAUGUGAAUACUAAAUGCAAUUUAGUACAUGUCAACAUACCCUUAGUACAGAAAAUUUCAAUUUUUUUGUUGGCUAAAUAUUCCUGCAACAACGUGCGGGAUGUCAUCUAAUUACAUGAUGUAAUCAUUCCCUGGAACAAAUUACACAAGUUUGAUCCCUAACUGCUACUAAAACAAAGCGUAGAUGGUUUCUGAUGAUAAUCACACACGCGCCUAAAGAACAUGAUUUUUUUUAGCCAGAUAGCUUUGAAAAAUCAGAAAUGAUCAGAGAUAUGAUUCGGAAACCCUCCACGAUUUUGUCUCUUGGACUACAACACCCUAUUUUUUAUAUUCUGUAAUGGUAACAUAUAAUUUAACGGGAAACAAUGAAACAUGUUCUAGGACGCGAUGGCAAAACUAAAAUAUAAAAUGGGAAUUCAAGGCAUUGUCAGGGAAAAAAACGUCUCCUGAAGACUUGACUCAGACCGGACCUCACCGAUUAGCAAAAACUGAAAUGACCAUUACAGUUUGAUUGAUGGUAUUUAAGCAAGAAAAGUUAGCUGUCAUGCUUGGCUGGUCUAUUAAGGGCCUCUUUAAUUCAGAGAAAUUUUAUAGGAAUUUUGAAGGAUUCUACAACUCGUUUGAUUUACAGGAUCUGAAACGGUACGAAUUUUUUCCCGCAAAAAAAAAGAAACGGUAUGAUUUUUUUCGAUGGAUUACUUCGCAUGGAAUUCCGAAAAAAAAAGAUGUGGUCCAACCUCAUCCAAAAUAUUCUUUGUUUCCUCAAAGAACUAUAGCAAGUAUAACUAAUCCUUCAAACAAGUUCAUGUAUUUUCCCUCUGGUACAAUCAAACAGUUUAUGUUACACAUUUAUAUGUUUUGAAGUUCGGUGGGAUUCAACAUAUCAUGACAUUCAAUUUCGAUGGUUUCUUAUUUCUAGUUUUUGAAAUGCUGCGGAUCAAAAGGACCGUAAGGGUUGUCAAAUUUCUUUUUCGAAAAGGGGAAACGAUCCCCGGCCUCUGCAUCAAUUGAUGCACAUAGCAGCCAUUUUUAUUGCAAAGUGAUCAAAAGUCACACAUUUUACUGAUCAACGAUAGUCGAUACAAAAAUAAGUCAACGGAAUAGCUCAAACAAGACGAAAUUAUGCAUUUAGGCAUCCAGUACACCGACAGCCAGCCCGGUUGAAGAUAUCCCGAACGACCAUAUCCAGCCGGUUGCAUCCGGUAGCCAAAGGCACCAAAAUAGACCCUACAUUUGCAGAGAUCUUGCCACACUUUCUGAAUCACGUUAUCGCCAUGAACCAAACAGGUGACUAAUACAAUGUCAAGCCCGGUACACUUUAUAUCCUGACGUGACAACUUUACUGUACCGAUCAAAGUUCGCGGAUAACCACUUUAGGCAGAGAAUUGGAGCAAACCCUUAACGCAUCCAUAUACAAAGACCACUAGCGUCCUCCAGUACGUCAUUAACAUCAGGUUGAAACUUCAAAGAUGGAAAACUUCCAUAACCCAUUGUUUGUCAGAACAUCAAUCGAUGCCCAUGUCUCGGUCUUCUGAAGCCUUGCCGUGGGGUGCUUCAGAGGUCAACAACCAACUUGCCAAAACAAGCACGGGUCGACACUUCGAAAUAGCCUAGGCGCCUAGCAAUGUGCUGCUAGUCCAACUAUACGAAUUAAAAAACCAUGUAGAUAGAUUAUGUUUUCUCAACACAGAAGAUAAUGUAACCAAUAUUAGGGAGCUGCUAAUUGGGGGAAGUCCGCCCAAUUUCAACCUGGCGGACGAAUUCGGACAUUUUUUGUCAUUUUUGGCAACUUUUUAUUUAUUUUUCUCACUGGCUUUUAGUUUCUUCAACUUUUUAUUUUUAUUUUUGAGCUUUUACUUUUAAUUUGAAGGUUUUAAGGUUUUAAUUUUGAGCUUAGAGACAUGUUUCGUCCGCCCAUCCCAACUCGGCAGAUGAGUGUGAAAGAGAGUUUGCGCUAUUAUUAUUGCCAACAUGAACUCACGCACAUUGUUUAUUUUUUUUUCUUCAGCUCCUCCAUUGCUCCAGAAUUUAUCAUUUAUUGGCCAUGCACCUCAUUUUAUUCCUUUAUCUCUAUUAAUUAAUCUGAAAUUCUUGUACUCAUUGCAUGUGAAUCAUUCACAGAUAAUUACUUCCUCUGAUAAUUUGAACUAAAACGACGACGAGAAUUUAGGAUCGGAGAGAGUACAUUCUACCUGCGAGAAAAUUAUUACAUUCCUGUUUUCCAAAUCUUCAUCUUUGUUUUCAGAUCUUAGUAGAACGGUUGACACAGAGAAGGCGAGAGGCUAGGCUAAAUAGAUUUCGGAGCGGAGAAGGAAGAUGGUAAGCAGUGACGGACGAGACGAACAGCGGGGCGGCAUGCAGUCAGGCAUGGAGCUGAGGUUAGGUCCAGGAAUCAAGGAGAAGAGCUGAAUGAAAUACUGAGAGAAGCUAAGUGUUGCAAGUAACAGGGUGUUGUUUUGAAAUUGACUUUGAAAACAAAGUUAAUUGGGAAUUCUUAUUCCACUGUGCUCAGAUGAAAGGAUUCAAUGACAGGUGGAUUGUAUGGAUAAGAUCUAUUGUGACUGAGGGGACUUUGAGUGUGAAAGUCAAUGACACUCUGGGGCCAUACUUCGGAGUCAUAAAGGGGUUAGACAGGAGGACCCACUGUCACCUUUCCUGUUUAACCUAGCUGUUGAGUGUCUUGCAAAAAUGAUACAUAAAGCACAACAGUCAGGGAGUGUGACGGGCCUGGUGCCACACCUGGUAGACAAAGGGGUAGCAAUACUGUAAUAUGCUGAUGACACCAUACUGUUUGUCAGAGAUAAUCUUGAAGAUGACAGAAACCUCAAACUCA
This is a long non-coding RNA of Brachypodium distachyon (stiff brome), 4484 nucleotides long. RefSeq lists it as uncharacterized. The record is from RefSeq and is a predicted model, not a curated record. The transcript is spliced from 2 exons. NCBI's taxonomy places the organism in Eukaryota, Viridiplantae, Streptophyta, Magnoliopsida, Poales, Poaceae.